Long non-coding RNA from Toxorhynchites rutilus septentrionalis, 1669 nucleotides. RefSeq lists it as uncharacterized. The record is from RefSeq and is a predicted model, not a curated record. The transcript is spliced from 4 exons. NCBI's taxonomy places the organism in Eukaryota, Metazoa, Arthropoda, Insecta, Diptera, Culicidae.
ACUAAUAUUUCGAGAGAAGCCAAACAAGUUCGGGGAGGAUCUGUUUUCUCAAUCUGUGAAAAACCCUUUAUUGUUGAUCUACCCAAACAUUAUGAACCAUAUAUACUCAAGUGAAAAUACUUGUUAAAGAUGCUGAGGAAUUCAUUCCGAAGAAUCAUUGAAAAAUCCAAACUGUAACAUUUCAGUAAUCGUACGGAAAGUUUAGCCAAGAUACUGUUAUGCGUUACGAUUUUGUUGCGUGCCACACAUCAUUUUGUAGCGUAACACAACAUCCAUACGCAAAUAUAUUUGUGUGAAAUGAACGAUUAAUACCUAUUGUUUCGCGGUACGAUUUGAGGCUCUUUGUGCCACAUUAAGUUAGAUCAAGUCUCUUUACAAAUUGACCUCCGAGUGGAACAGUCAAAGUUUAAGAAUAGUUUUCCAUAUAAUUCUCGAGAUAAAUCGACGUGUGUGCGAGUAGCAGACUUGAAAAAAAAGUGUUCCACACAUCAUUUAGUUCUCUUUUGAAAAGAGUUGAGUCGCGAUUGAUAAAAUUGAACAAACUCAGGCUAUAACCUUCAAACGAAGGUUUUUUUUUGGUUCUCCUUUAUUUUUCUCUGAUGUAACCAGAUAGAUUUCCACGUGUAAUCAAAGCCAUCUUCCCUGAGGGCCCCAGCCAAAAGCCCUGAGUCAGUGGACGACUCUUUCCACGGUUGUUUAUCGGGUCACCGCGUAUUCAAGGUUGCAGACAUUCGUCGCCUAUUCAAAGGAGCAGAAAUUCGUCGCCUAUCCAGAGGACCAGAAAUCCUUCACCUGGAAUGUUCACAAUCAUCACGUAACCAACAUUGUGAUCAACAACUUGCGACCAUCGUCAGCAAUCAUCAUUGCGUAUCGAUAAUAUCACCCUGCUGUGAACGCCUAACCAACAGGAAGUGACCGUUCAUCACCGACCAUCACCAUCUCGAGUCAUCUGUGGACUUCUCGUCGCACACCUACUACGCACACUACAGCAAUCGACCCGACAUCGCAGAGCGCUCUGUUAAUUGGCCAUCAUGACGCCUAAAACCAACACCAACAACGCCACCUGGUUGUCAGCAGUAAAGAAAGGUUAGCCUUAUUUGAAUUUGUUCGUCCUAUUAUAUUAAAUGCACACAUAUUUCGAUUAAAUAUGAAUUAUUGAAUUAUCCGUUGAACCAAAUUAUUAAAGAUGGAUUUUGAGUAUAGAAUCACUUGAGUUUUCGGUUUCGUUAAGUUUCGGCAUGAUUGGCCACCAGUGUGGGAAUUAAUCGUUUAGGUAAGCCUUUGAGUUGUGCUAGAAGUGGUUUUGCGUCCACUUAACCUGCCCUGAGAGGGUCGUUGGGGCUUAAGCGGAGUGGUUUAGCCCAGGGACGGGAACAGUACGGGACUGACUAUUCUUCAAGUGCGUAAAAUUCUGAGUCUGAUUAGCCGUCCUGACACAGAACGUUACAAAUUGGUACCCAACGCUUAUAAACGUUACAAAACAAAUGCGUAAUCUUGAAUACACAACUAAUUUCUCCUCAACUUACAAUACACCACGCUUUGUUCAAUUUGAGGAAUGAUAAUAUUCACGAAAAGAUCCUGGACAACGAACAGAUAUUAAGACCGUUAGACAUUAACAUAAAUAGCAAAAAACACGUCUGCUUCCAUAAUGGUGCUACUUCAAAAGAUU